Pollicipes pollicipes is the source of this 992-nucleotide RNA transcript. It is a transcript of the gene named myosin regulatory light chain 2, with no coding region annotated. The record is from RefSeq and is a predicted model, not a curated record. Lineage: Eukaryota; Metazoa; Arthropoda; Thecostraca; Pollicipedomorpha; Pollicipedidae. The transcript is spliced from 4 exons.
GUCAGUUGUGGCUGGGCGGCAGUGGGGGCAGCAGCGGGUCCGGCUCCCUCCACCGCAGACGAUUCCAGAAAAACAGCAGCCAUGCCGUCCACCAAGAAAGGGUCCAAGAAGUCCUCGAAGAAGGCGGGAAGCAGCGUCUUCUCCUCGUUUACUCAGCAGCAAGUGUCAGAGUUCAAGGAGGGUUUCGCCAUCAUGGAUGCCGACCGCGACGGCAUCCUCAACAAAGCAGACAUCAGAAACUCAUUUGACAUCAUCGGCAAGAUCAUCUCAGAAAAGGAACUGGACGAGAUGCUUAACGAUGCUCCUGGUCCCAUCAGCUUCACCAUGUUCGUCAACAUGUUUGCCGAGCGGCAGUCAGGGCCCACUGACGAAGACGAGGUCAUCAUUAAGGCUUUCAAGGCCUUCGACAGGGGCGACGGUAAGAUAGAUUCAGAGCAGUUCCGCGGCCAGCUCAUGUCCUUUGGCGACAAGAUGAAAGGGAAGGAGGUCGACGACGUCAUGGCGGAGAUGGAGUUCGACGAGGAGAAUAACAUCGAGCUGGACCCGCUGAUUGAGAUGAUAGUCGGCAAGACGGAGGAAGAGAACGCCGAGGGACAGGGCGAGGCGCCCGCCGAGUAGACCCGGUACGUCGGCCCCUCACUCGGCACCCGGAUCGUCAACCCUUCACCCGGAUCGUCACCGUGACCUUUCAUCUUUCCAAGCAACCCACUGACCCGAACACAGCUGUUCCGGGACCUGGGACUCGACUGGGUCGAAUAGUGGCGCCGCGGCGCGGGAACCGCGGGAACCAGGUGCUCGGGCGCCCGCGGGCCCUGCCGCCGCCGCGCCCCGUCCCCUGCCUUUGGCCCGCGCGCGGCGCGAACACAAGUUCCGUGCGCCGCGAAGGGGGCGCGCGUCUCUCAUCCCUGUGCCGGCGCCCGCUGGCGUCUCUGCUGGUCCGAGCGACAGUCGUGAUGUCUCGCGGCGCUCCAAUAAACUCCGGGCCGACCUGA